GGUGCUUGCAUCAUGAUUUACAUUUGAGUGAGUGGCGAACUGGUGAGUAACACGUGGGAAACCUGCCCAGAAGCGGGGGAUAACACCUGGAAACAGAUGCUAAUACCGCAUAACAACUUGGACCGCAUGGUCCGAGCUUGAAAGAUGGCUUCGGCUAUCACUUUUGGAUGGUCCCGCGGCGUAUUAGCUAGAUGGUGGGGUAACGGCUCACCAUGGCAAUGAUACGUAGCCGACCUGAGAGGGUAAUCGGCCACAUUGGGACUGAGACACGGCCCAAACUCCUACGGGAGGCAGCAGUAGGGAAUCUUCCACAAUGGACGAAAGUCUGAUGGAGCAACGCCGCGUGAGUGAAGAAGGGUUUCGGCUCGUAAAACUCUGUUGUUAAAGAAGAACAUAUCUGAGAGUAACUGUUCAGGUAUUGACGGUAUUUAACCAGAAAGCCACGGCUAACUACGUGCCAGCAGCCGCGGUAAUACGUAGGUGGCAAGCGUUGUCCGGAUUUAUUGGGCGUAAAGCGAGCGCAGGCGGUUUUUUAAGUCUGAUGUGAAAGCCUUCGGCUCAACCGAAGAAGUGCAUCGGAAACUGGGAAACUUGAGUGCAGAAGAGGACAGUGGAACUCCAUGUGUAGCGGUGAAAUGCGUAGAUAUAUGGAAGAACACCAGUGGCGAAGGCGGCUGUCUGGUCUGUAACUGACGCUGAGGCUCGAAAGUAUGGGUAGCAAACAGGAUUAGAUACCCUGGUAGUCCAUACCGUAAACGAUGAAUGCUAAGUGUUGGAAGGGUUUCCGCCCUUCAGUGCUGCAGCUAACGCAUUAAGCAUUCCGCCUGGGGGAGUACGGCCGCAAGGCUGAAACUCAAAGGAAUUGACGGGGGCCCGCACAAGCGGUGGAGCAUGUGGUUUAAUUCGAAGCUACGCGAAGAACCUUACCAGGUCUUGACAUACUAUGCAAAUCUAAGAAGAUUAGACGUUCCCUUCGGGGACAUGGAUACAGGUGGUUGCAUGGGUUGUCCUCCAGCUCCUGUCCUGGAAAAGUUUUGGGUAAAUUCCCCCCACCAAGCGCCACCCCUUAUUAAUCAUUUUCCCACCA
RNAcentral lists this ribosomal RNA (1087 nucleotides) under Lactiplantibacillus plantarum subsp. plantarum. RNAcentral's name for it is "bacterial SSU rRNA". It matches the Rfam family "Bacterial small subunit ribosomal RNA", at positions 64 to 1124 of the family's 1533-position model. The record is from RNAcentral. Lineage: Bacteria; Bacillati; Bacillota; Bacilli; Lactobacillales; Lactobacillaceae.